This 440-nucleotide ribosomal RNA is filed under the name uncultured bacterium. RNAcentral describes it as "partial 16S ribosomal RNA". It matches the Rfam family "Bacterial small subunit ribosomal RNA", at positions 338 to 795 of the family's 1533-position model. The record is from RNAcentral.
CCUACGGGUGGCAGCAGUGGGGGAUAUUGCACAAUGGGGGGAACCCUGAUGCAGCGACGCCGCGUGAGUGAAGGAGCGUUUCGGCGCGUAAAGCCCUAUCAGCAGGGAAGAAAAUGACGGUACCUGGCCAAGAAGCCCCGGCUAACUACGUUCCAGCAGCCGCGGUAAUACGUAGGGGGCAAGCUUUAUCCGGAUUUACUGGGUGUAAAGGGGGCGUAGACGGCACUGCAAGUCAGGAGUGAAAGGCCGGGGCCCAACCCCGGGACUGCUCUUGGAACUGCAGCGCUGGAGUACAGGAGGGGUAGGCGGAAUUCCUAGUGUAGCGGUGAAAUGCGUAGAUAUUAGGAGGAACACCGGUGGCGAAGGCGGCCUGCUGGACUGUGACUGACGUUGAGGCCCGAAGGCGUGGGGAGCAAACAGGAUUAGAUACCCUGGUAGUC